Long non-coding RNA from Rosa rugosa (rugosa rose), 351 nucleotides. RefSeq lists it as uncharacterized. The transcript is spliced from 3 exons. NCBI's taxonomy places the organism in Eukaryota, Viridiplantae, Streptophyta, Magnoliopsida, Rosales, Rosaceae. The record is from RefSeq and is a predicted model, not a curated record.
CAAUCACUCCUCUUAUGUCUGGUUAUAAGUGUUCUUUGUUAAUUGCUUUGAUUGGUUUAAUUUAAUGCAGUGAAGACAUAGGAACAAUGAAGUUCAAUUUCCUGGUGAGCUUAAACCCAAGGGUUAUAGCUACCGGUUGAAGAUUCGCCAGAAAUAACAACAAAUUUAUGCUUUCAAAUACUACCAUAUUCAGGUCUGACAACACACUGUAGCCAUCCAUUAAAAAUUUUUGAUGCACUGAGUUUAAUUUGGAUUUAUUCAUUGUAAUGGAAAAAUUUAGGUAAAGUGUGCCUGACCUCAAAAGGUAACUUACCUAAAUUUCUCCACCAUUACAAAAAAUUUCACACCAGA